AGGAAUUAUGACGUUAAAACCUCACCGGGACCUUUUGAAGUUUAAGUUUAUUAUUUGCAGUUGUACAAAUAAUCAAGAAGAAAUCAAGAUAGUACCAUCAUACUUUAUAUCCUGCUUUCAUCAUCUUUCAGGUUUCAAAGAUCAUGGGCACAGCUUUAUCAGAAGCAGACACACCCAUCAGUGUCAUCACUGAAAGUUCAGACUUCACAGAUGUAGAACGACCCGUAUCCGUUUGAACUGAUCAGAGGUGGGAACUUUAACCCACAACCCCACAACACAAGCAAACUAGCCCACAGGCCUGUUUAUCCAUGCUGAACUUCUCUACACAAUCCCUCUCAAAACAUCCCCCGGCAGUUCACAGGAAAACCGCCUGUAUCUCCUCAUGUUUCUGUGGUAUUUAUAAUCAACAGAAGCCUAUUGUUCUGUGCACAAACAGCAGCGGAUAUGGGUAGAGCAGUAUUUCAACUUAAUAAUGUGAUUAAUACCGAACUGUGGAUACGGUCACGACCAUCAGUGGGGUGGAUUGCUCUGAUUUAAUUUGGCUUGGCUAAACUUGUAUUAGCACAUUCUAAUGUCCCUUCUGCUUAUCUAAAAGUCAUUUCCAGAAUUUGUUAGCUGAAGAACAGCACAAUUCAACUCUGGUUGUAUUAGAAAUUCAUUUUCAUAUAAGAUGCUUUUGUCUGCUUCUGAUCGGGGCUGGAUUUAUGCAUUUCCACAUACAAACGCACACACAUAGACCUACAGUACACACAGGAAUACACAGCACAGAAACUUGUCAACACUGAAGUUUCCAUAUCUGAGGUCAAUAUUUGAUAAGAGGUCAGUGGGGAAAAUGGGUGUUUUUCUGUUACCACUGAAUACAGAUUAAGGGCCCUGAUAUGUCAAUUGAAACUGAAGAGCAAACUGGUGUUCAAGUUUGUUUGGGGAGUUCGAAACCGCUUGCCAAAGCGAACUUUCCGGAAAGAUUGAUCCGGCUGGAAAAAACCUUUGCAUGGAAAUCUUUUCCAGUUCAUUUCAUCUGUUCAAUCCCUUGAGGUCAGACGCAAGUAAAAACAUGAACACAUUGGAGAGCUAUUUUAUAGCAGAAACUGAAGCUGUAAUUUUAACUGAAAGUGACACUGACACUGUUUGUUCAUGUAUAAUAUCAUAAAGCUGGUUGCUUUAAAGCAAUCUAUUGUAUUAAAGAACUAUAUAAAUAAAUAUGAUGUGACCAAACUG
Cyprinus carpio (common carp) is the source of this 1218-nucleotide long non-coding RNA. RefSeq lists it as uncharacterized. Lineage: Eukaryota; Metazoa; Chordata; Actinopteri; Cypriniformes; Cyprinidae. The record is from RefSeq and is a predicted model, not a curated record.